This 253-nucleotide ribosomal RNA is filed under the name uncultured bacterium. RNAcentral describes it as "partial 16S ribosomal RNA". It matches the Rfam family "Bacterial small subunit ribosomal RNA", at positions 524 to 776 of the family's 1533-position model. The record is from RNAcentral.
UACGAAGGGGGCUAGCGUUGUUCGGAAUUACUGGGCGUAAAGCGCGCGUAGGCGGACAUUUAAGUCAGGGGUGAAAUGCCGGGGCUCAACCUCGGAACUGCCUUUGAUACUGGGUGUCUGGAGUUCGGGAGAGGUGAGUGGAAUUCCGAGUGUAGAGGUGAAAUUCGUAGAUAUUCGGAGGAACACCAGAAGCGAAGGCGGCUCACUGGCCCGAUACUGACGCUGAGGCACGAAAGCGUGGGGAGCAAACAGG